Molecule: transfer RNA, 73 nt
Filed under: Camponotus floridanus (Florida carpenter ant)
Lineage: Eukaryota; Metazoa; Arthropoda; Insecta; Hymenoptera; Formicidae
Also listed under: 1 other name
Description: tRNA-Val
Source: RNAcentral
GUUUCUGUGGUGUAGUGGUUAUCACAUCCGCCUAACACGCGGAAGGUCCCCGGUUCAAUCCCGGGCGGAAACA